Amphiprion ocellaris (clown anemonefish) is the source of this 1959-nucleotide long non-coding RNA. RefSeq lists it as uncharacterized. The transcript is spliced from 2 exons. NCBI's taxonomy places the organism in Eukaryota, Metazoa, Chordata, Actinopteri, Pomacentridae. The record is from RefSeq and is a predicted model, not a curated record.
UGAUGCUUGAAUCACGGGCUCGUCCGUAUUAAAUGUACUCUUAAUUUGAUCUACCUGUGUCCUCUCUUCAUUGAUGAACAUCCACCUUCAGAUCAACAUCAUUUCAGUGUUUCACCUCUCUUCAUCUCUUCGCUCUGGCGUCAAGCAGAAUUCCAGCAGAAACUGUCCCAAGUCCAGCCAGCAGAAAUGGCACCAAGAUCUGCAGCACCAUGGAGCAGAGAGAUUCUGCAGGUGCACCUGAGUGACCUCCAUCCUUUUCUCUCGUGGAUCCGCUGAGCCUCGAUCCGCUGUAGAGCUCAUUGGGGAUCAGAGAGUCCGUCUCGCUGUACUCCCGCGGCUCAUGAUAGAGUCCUGCGUUGACUGAUGGUAUAUUUCCAUUCGAGUUCACAUGUUGUGGACUUCCAGAGAGCUGAGAUAAAGACGGGAUGGAUCUCCAGCCCGCAGAUCCACUCUGGGUCAGUUUGUUAUCCUGUGACUCUGGGACAACCAUGUUGCAGAGUUGGGUGGGAUGUUGCUCCUGCUGCUCCAGCUUGAGGCUGUGAAAAAGAGAGUUGGACUAUAUCAGCAACACCAAGAAUGAUUCGCUCUGAAGAACACUGGUUGACAAUGAAAUACAACUUAGUAGCUAUAACUACCAGCAUGCAGAAUCUCAACCAACUUCCUCCCCUCUUCUUCCAUGAACAAAUCAAGUUUGUGACUUUAGCAUGUACGUAGACAGCCUGACUGAUGAAUAAGGCCUGUUUCAGAGUCAUCUGAUGGCACGGAUCGCCUGCAUUAUCAUUCCUCAUGCCUGUUUCCCAUCAGCAACACUGAGGCUGCGUUGUCCGACAGAGACAAUACACUUCAUGUGAAAUUCCGAAGAGAUGAGCAGGUAGUAAACAGCUGAGGUUAUCAAGUUAGAAAGGAGGAAUUGUACAAAAUGUGUGUCUUUUUCACAAGCUGCAGUAAUGUUGUGAGCAGUGUAUCACAGUAUCAAUUAUAAAUAAUCUACUUUAUCCUGUAGAAAAAGCUUUAAAAGCUGAUAACUUUGCUGUUAACUGUCCCAGCCACAGCUUAAGGCUGUGGGCUGUGGUAGUGCUUCCUGCUCUCUCUCUCUCCUAGGUGUGUUCUUGGUGAAGCUGGCAGCAGGUGUGCUGCAUCGUAAUCAGCAGACGAGCUGCAGGUGGAGCUGAGUGACUGGUCUCUGAGCGUCUCUAUAAAAGCAGAUGGCACCCGUCAUUCGAAGCUGGACCGUUGUCUAAUCUCCAGUUAGUGCUAGGAGCAGAACUGUCUUUGCCACCAGCCUAGAAUUUCCAGUAAUUCUGUUUUCUGUGUUUAGAAAGCUGAUUCCUGCCUGCUGAGUUGCCUGGGUUCCUUCGUCUGCUGGUUUCCGCCCAACCACGGAUUCUGCCUUCUUGUCCGGAGGAUCUCCACCUGUCGCCAGCUUAACCUGGGAACAUCAACUUACACCUGGAAAGAGGGCUUUCUCUGGAAACAUCUACCACGACCGGGUUCUACUGAUACCAACUUACCAAACACAUGGCGAACACCGGGAGGGAGACUUCUGGAUGAAGUCAAACCAAAAGGACUGUUCUCAGCUCACCAGCUAAAUCUCCAAGCCCUAGUAUCACCAGACUCUUUGUGUUGUUAAUACGUCAAAUUAAAUAAUCAGCGUUCCGUAUUUAACUUAAUGUAUUUUAUGCUCUGCAUAGGAUAGCUUUAGUCUGGGGUUUCAGCUCAUAAUUACAGGUAGUCUAGGCUGGGUUAGUUUUGUAUUUUCAGUUGUUUCCCUACCUUGGUGUUACCAUAUGUGGGUUAACCUUCGUUUCAGUUUCCAUGUUCAUGUAGUUAUUCCUCCGUACCUCUAGAUGGUUUUUGUUUGUUAGUUCUAGUAGUAGUUUAGUUCUUCUUUGUCUAAGAUUCUAGUUCUGGUUCCUGUAUUGAGUUUCUUGUUGUGAAUAAAAGCGUUUUUAAAAUGUU